This 699-nucleotide long non-coding RNA is filed under the name Elaeis guineensis (African oil palm). Its description in RNAcentral is "long non-coding RNA (EGUI_LNC025311)". Lineage: Eukaryota; Viridiplantae; Streptophyta; Magnoliopsida; Arecales; Arecaceae. The record is from RNAcentral.
UGAGAUAUAAUUGCAGUUCCCCAUCCUUUUGUGAUUAAGAGAACUUUUUCUGGCACUACAUUUGUGUUUCAAUUCAUCUAGCAGAAGCAUCAAAACAAAAUACUGUUGUAGAUUAGGCAGACGAGGGUGGUGCUCGUAGGCAUUUAAGCACUAAGGAUUUUCCCAUGUUUAUGGCCAAUUUGACUACUUUAUUUGCCUUAUGGUAUAUACAUUAAACUUGAUGCUCUCAACCAAAUUGGGAAAUUCCUAUUUUGUCAGCUACCCCAGUUCUUAUCGUUCAAGGAAUGUGCUCACCUUUCUUGGGUGGUUUCAGUUCUGCAUAUGAAACAUUAUCUUCAUCCCUUUAUCUAGGCUUCUGAAGUCCCCUGGAAAACUUAUUACCCACUAUCAGAAUUCAGAAGCCAUAGAAUUUUCUGGAUAACCAAAAAAAAAAAAACUGUCACAGCAUUUCAGGUUCCUGUUUACUGAUGCACUGAGAUGUUAAAGUGUGUGCUGGCAAUAAGUUAAAAUGCCAUUUGUUUUGACUCUAAACAAAUUUUUGUUAAGAUCUAAACAAAUUUUUGUUAUGACUCUAAACAAAUUUUUGUUAAGAUUGUUAAAUUGUAAUCUAAUCAUUCAUCUGGCAGUAAUAAUUUAUAUAUUCAUGAAAGAUGUGAGUAUGCCCGUAAUCUUAUUAUUAAAGUAUAUUGUGUACCUGGA